RNAcentral lists this long non-coding RNA (1480 nucleotides) under Lactuca sativa (garden lettuce). RNAcentral's name for it is "long non-coding RNA (LSAT_LNC000357)". The record is from RNAcentral. Lineage: Eukaryota; Viridiplantae; Streptophyta; Magnoliopsida; Asterales; Asteraceae.
UAAGCUUUCUAAAGUCAUUACAAGGAGGAUUUGAGAUUGUUAUUGCUACAUAACAAUCAAGGUAAUAUCUUAAACCCAUUGUUAUGUUAAUAUUGAUUAUCAUAUGCUAGAUCUAGGGUUUAAAGUCUUGGAUGAAUUGCAUGUACAAUAGAGNAGAUCUAGGGUUUAAAGUCUUCGAUGAAUUUCAUGUACAAUAGAGAAACCUAGAUCCAAUCAUUAGGGUUUGUAUGAGCACAUAGGAUGUUCUUAUGGCUAAAACUCAUCAGUGGUAUCAGAGCUUGAUUGGUUUCUAUUGUAUUGAUGCCUUGUUUGUUUGUUUAAGCUGUAAAAUCGAUUUUUUGGCCCCCUGUCUGAUGAACUCGGCGAGUUCCACUGUGGACUCGGCGAGUAGCUCCAACCCGGCGAGUUCGAGCGUCAGAAGGAGGUAGUUUCGGGAUUUUUACCUAUUUUGACUUAGGAUAAUUGCCAUAAUUGUUUAAAAUUAAUAAAAUUCGAAUUUUAUUGAUUCCUUAUGAUUAUCCUUGUCAAAAUAAAAGAUUUUAGUCAUCUAAUUAGAUAAUUGUUACCUUAUUUGUUAAAUGUUAAAUUAUGGAAAUUAUUUGAUCAUUGUCUUGCAAGAAUUUGAACUAGAUCUAAUUAGAUAACCACCAAUUAAUAGUUAAUUGCCUUAUUUGAAUUAUGUGAUCUAGAAUAUUCUUGACAAAGUUUGGAAAAGUUUCAAAAUAAUCCCUUUAGGUUUUAUAGUUUAAAUUAGAACUUGAAAGUUUUGGUUUUGAAAUUUAAAUAAGUUAAACCCUAAUGUUUUGAAAUGUUUCAAAACUUGCCCUCAAGUUUUGGAAUUUAAAAGUUGAUUAAAAGUUUAAUUUAGAAAUGUUAAAUUCUAAAACCCUAGUAUAGUUUUGAAAAGUUCAAAUCACACCCUUAUGGUUUUAUUAAUUAAUUAAAGUGUAUAAUUAAAAGAGAUUUAGUAAAUCCAUAAAGUUUUGGUUUACAAUUUAAUUAAAUUAAAAGUAUAAUUAUUAAAUUUGACCACCUAGUAUUUUAAAAGUGUAAAAUACACCCUAUACUAUAUAUAACAUUAAAAGUCUAACAUUAUAUAUAUGUAUGAGUAAAAGUCAGUCUUACCGUUAGUAGGCCUCAUUCACGAAGCUGGUCUAUAAGGGGUGUUUAAGGAAAUUGCCUAUAAAAUGGCGAUUGAAUGGGUAUCCACUCUUACCCACCGCACUCUUGACUAGUGGAGGGUCGUUAGCCGAACGGGUAGGAUAGGACAGAAACCUUCCAUUAUAAGUAUAAUGAAGUACAAAAGUAACUAAAUGCUUUUUCAAAAUUCCCAAUCUUAGUUACUUUAGGCAAAAGUGAAUUGAUGUAAUUCCAUGAAAUUACACUUUGUAUCCUUGCGAAGACGUUAGUGAAGCGUGUGUGGAUAACCGACACACUAAAUGGUUCUAAGCAAAGGUAGCAAAGGGUGACUCAAUGUUUG